GCAAUGCAUGUUGCAACAGUUGCAAUUCAUCCUCUUAUGAUUGCUGGCUGGUGUGGCUUAACAACAACUGCUUUUAAUAUGCUUCCAGUUGGAUGUCUUGACGAUGGAAGAGCCGUGCAGGGCGCUUUUGGAAAAAAUUCUCUAGUUGGAUUUGGUUUGACAACUUACACGAUGCUUGGAUUAGGAGUGGUAAUAUCUCUUUGAACCUUACCAUAAUGAUUUUGCUUUGGGUAUUUGUCUCUAUUAGUCUUUGAACUAUAAUCUACUUAUUACA
Long non-coding RNA from Humulus lupulus (European hop), 274 nucleotides. RefSeq lists it as uncharacterized. The transcript has 3 exons. The record is from RefSeq and is a predicted model, not a curated record. Lineage: Eukaryota; Viridiplantae; Streptophyta; Magnoliopsida; Rosales; Cannabaceae.